Long non-coding RNA from Hippocampus comes (tiger tail seahorse), 449 nucleotides. RefSeq lists it as uncharacterized. The transcript is spliced from 3 exons. The record is from RefSeq and is a predicted model, not a curated record. NCBI's taxonomy places the organism in Eukaryota, Metazoa, Chordata, Actinopteri, Syngnathiformes, Syngnathidae.
GGUGACUUUUUACUCUUUAAUAGCCUCUCAAAACACUCACAUUUCCUCACUUUGAAUGGAAAGCAGCACGUUAAACGUGCUCGCACCUGGCAAACAUGCAAAGCAAAAAUGUUUGCUCGAGCAUUGCGACCUUGCAACAAACGCUUUUUUUCCCCCAACUUCCUAGGAAAGCUACGUUCGCCGAGAGGGUAAGUAGACAAAACUAAUUUCUAAAUGCACAAUUAAACCGAAUUAAUAUGCAUGUGUGCAUACUAAUUGUGUCAUUUCUGUUCACAGGUACAAAUCUUCAAAUCGCGUCUAAAAUGGGACACUUGCUGCUUUGCAUCUUCUACAGAAUGGCCAAAUUGACUGAAACGAGGCUCACCUCAACAGAAUGACCCUUAAAAUGGCUGCCAUCCUGUGGCGUUUGGGCCUUCCAAAUAUCAGGUGCCCAGCCACACGCUUGGAAG